CCCCAACCAUUAUGUAUUUUACAGAGCAUUGCACAAAUUACUCAAACAAUAGAAUCAGGGCAGACAUGGGUCAAUUGGCUGUAUACUCUUUGACAUCAGUAGUUAAAUGUAUGAAGAAGACCUCACAGGACUUUAUAUUGUACAACUGUUUAAAGUAGCAGUCACUGAAUUUAUUUGUCUGUCUCGUUUACACCAGACGAAAAGAAAGAUGUUUCCAGGAGAAACGGAGAGCUUUCCCACGCCAAAGAUGUUGGGUUGAAGCUAAGGGAAGCUCUGAAACAGCAGCUCACCAUCAUCCAUGAAAGAGUGGAGGCUAGGAAGAUAGCUAAAUUGGCACUGGCAGAAGUGAGGCACAUCCUAGCCAAAGAGGAGGAAGAGAGGACCCUGAACCGUAUCAGGGAGGAGUCGGAGGCCAAGGCUUGGGAGAGGGCUGAGGCUCGACUGAAAGAGGAGGGGGAGAGAAUAGAGAAAGAGGAUGUGGAAAAGGCUAUGGCAAGAAUUAGAAAGGAGAAGGAGGAAAGAGAGAAAAUGGCUGAAAUUGAAGAAGCAAAGAAGAUUAUGAAGGUGGAAAAUGAUGAAGUGAAGAAAAAGCCAGAGGCUGAAAAGAAAUCUCUUGAGAAACCUGCUGCUGAUGAUGAUGGUAAAAAGGUUGAGAAAAAUGGAAAAGGCAAAGAAUCCAAGAAGGCUGCAGCUAAAAAGAAGCUGUAAGGCAGCACAUCAGCUACUGUUAGAUAUUUUGUGUACAUUUGUUAACAUUUGGCUAAAUUUAAUCUCAGGCCAUUGUGAGUCUUCAGAGACCACAUCUUAUAAACCGAAGGCAAGACCUUUUGUCUCUAUGAGAGAUAAGCAGUGAUGUAAAUAACAUUGAGAUUAGUAGAGGCAAAAACAGAACGAGGUGCUAUAUGCCGAUUGUUGUAAGGAAGUUCUUUAUUUAUCUUAAAAAUGUUUUUAUUUGAGGGUAGAAUUUUGGUUUACUCUUACAAAAUGCUAGCUAUUUUGUGAGAUUUCAACAUCGAUGUUUCUCUGAUUUUUUUUUUCUUCUUUCAUUUAUAAGAAAUAUAACAGCUAGCAUUAUUUUACUAAGUGAGAACAUUCUUGUUAUCAAUAAACUACAUUAAUCCCCUGAUUUGUUUUA
Molecule: long non-coding RNA, 1135 nt
Organism: Carassius carassius (crucian carp)
Lineage: Eukaryota; Metazoa; Chordata; Actinopteri; Cypriniformes; Cyprinidae
Exons: 2
Source: RefSeq, a predicted model, not a curated record